This 669-nucleotide unclassified non-coding RNA is filed under the name Bombus terrestris (buff-tailed bumblebee). RNAcentral's name for it is "misc RNA ENSBTSG00005030423.1". Lineage: Eukaryota; Metazoa; Arthropoda; Insecta; Hymenoptera; Apidae. The record is from RNAcentral.
CUGGAUUUUACAAGAAACCACGAUGCCGGUGCAUUACCAUAAUGCACCUCUGGCUGGCCGGUGGCGUCUCUGGCACCGCAAUUUACGGCGCAGAAGUAGCGGCACACGCAAUAUCACGUUGAAUGACAAGUUGCGCGGUACAAAAGUGCCCAUCUUACACUAGCUGACAUGUUGCAUAAGUAACAGACACGGGAGCUAGAAUUCCUAGUUAUCUACGCGUCGACGAGUUGGUUAUCUUUUGUUACGUAAAAUCUCCGACAAACAGGUCUCACGAGAUACCGACGUCUGACCGGAUUCUCAUCUCUAACCUCUCACGUACGAUUUCCAUGGCGACAAUGCUACGAGAAGGAUCAUUUCUUCGCGUCGAAACGUGGCCAUAAUUGCCAGCUCACAACUUGAACCAGUCCUCCGUUCGGGGAAACGUUCUUUUAUUUAUUAGCCCCGACCCUGGAGUUUGCCUCUAAUGGUCAUUAGGAUGAUAAUCGAGUCGCAUAAUUUCACCGGGUAAUUUAAUUAAAUCACAUGAUUUUUCGCGUCGUCGAAUCGUUAUCUGCGGAUCCCUAUUACUACAGACAAGAAAAGAAUCUCUAUUCGGAGAAAAGAGAAAUUUUUGUCUCCUUUUCUAUCUUUUUUUUAGUCUUUUGUUUCUAAUUGAAUGAACCGCGCGAC